This 397-nucleotide ribosomal RNA is filed under the name Cryomonadida sp. Its description in RNAcentral is "partial small subunit ribosomal RNA". It matches the Rfam family "Eukaryotic small subunit ribosomal RNA", at positions 582 to 975 of the family's 1831-position model. Lineage: Eukaryota; Cercozoa; Thecofilosea; Cryomonadida. The record is from RNAcentral.
AUUCCAGCUCCAAGAGCGUAUAUUAAAGUUGUUGCAGUUAAAAAGCUCGUAGUUGGAUUUCUGGUCUAAUGCGCCUGGCCCGCUGCCGUUAGGUAUGUGAGUGCCGGUGCGCGUUUACCAUCCUUCCAGAGAACACUUCUACCAUUUAUUUGGACGGAUGUUGUCUUCUGGAUCUUUUACUUUGAAAAAAUUAGAGUGUUUAAAGCAGGCCUUUGCUGUGAAUACAUUAGCAUGGAAUAAUAAUCUAGGACUUCGGUUCUAUUUUGUUGGUUUGCACACCAAGGUAAUGAUUAAUAGGGAUAGUUGGGGGUAUUCGUAUUUAAUUGUCAGAGGUGAAAUUCUUGGACCGUUUGAAGACAAACUACUGCGAAAGCAUUUGCCAAGAAUGUUUUCAUUA